Molecule: non-coding RNA, 480 nt
Organism: Peromyscus maniculatus bairdii (prairie deer mouse)
Lineage: Eukaryota; Metazoa; Chordata; Mammalia; Rodentia; Cricetidae
Source: RefSeq, a predicted model, not a curated record
UAUCAGGGUUGGCAUUGAGAAAAGUUACUAUGAAGCUGUCAAUAAGGACUUGGUAGAAAAACUUGACACAGAACUCAACUACACUGACUUGUGCCAUAGUGAAAGUUACUCUUCUGGAGUUCAACAUCUACAAUGAUAGACUUGUAGUAAAUAAACUCUUUGAGAGUAGUUGUAAGAUUAAUCACCAGUUUUGUUUUUUGAGACAGUGUUUCAUGUAGCUGAGAUGAGCCUUGAACUUCCAGCCUUCCUGAGUCCACCCAUCUCCACAAGUUUGAAUUACAGAUCUCAACUGCCCAAGUUCUAACUGCUGAUUUGACUCCUCUAGGUUCAACCUCGAAUGCCCCAUGGCUAAUAGUCUCUCACUGAAUCUGAAACUCACUAGUUUGGGAAGACUGACUGUCCAGCAAGCUACAGGGUCCUCUUGUCUCUGCCUCCUCAGCACUAGGAUUAGAGGUGUGCACCACCAAGCCUGGCUUCCCC